RNAcentral lists this long non-coding RNA (4850 nucleotides) under Sorghum bicolor (sorghum). RNAcentral's name for it is "long non-coding RNA (SBIC_LNC002225)". The record is from RNAcentral. Lineage: Eukaryota; Viridiplantae; Streptophyta; Magnoliopsida; Poales; Poaceae.
GGCAAAUGAUGAUGAUAGCAACCUAGUGCCCAUCACAAACUUUUGGUUGGCAUGUUGCGCUGGGUAGGUUCUCAGAAUAGUCCAUGCAAUAUUAUCUAUCUUCCUAGAUACUUUUCAAUGUAAGUGCUUCUCCGAUAGUGGAGAUUGGAGAGCGGCGGGCCAGCUGGAACCGGGAUCGAGAGGGCUAGGGUUUCAACAGGUUGUGGCCUGUAGGGGAGCAAUGAAUUUUAUUUUGCGCUUUGCAUAACUGAGCCAUCCAAGGUUGAUACAAUAGUGACGAGAAAGGCAGAAUGGGUUGUGGUGGGCUGUAUCCAGGUUAUGGGCUUCAUAUUUUUAGACUGAAUAUUAUGGAGAUUAUCAAUUAUAAUAUGUAGUCAAUUGUGUUGUCUAGAUUCUGAAAAUAAGUAGGCUUCAAUUUUGAACUACAUGUAAAUCAAAAAAGAUUAAAAAAGGUAAUAAAACUAUAUUAAUGCACAUAUGUUGCAUCUAGGUCAUAUCCUAAGAAUAGACAGAAAACUCAUAUGUUAGUUCGGAAUAAUUCAAAAAUUUGUUUACAACUUAUUAAAGAAAAUUAAUAAUAAUAUAUAAAAGGUGUAAAAAAAUUUUAAAUAGGCAUGUGAUCAGAUUAUGAGAACAUAUGCUUGAAUUAGAAAAUAGAUGAUUUUACAAAAGUUAGCAUAUACAUUGUUCACAAAUGGAUAUAUUUCUCACAAAGUUACAUACAACCUAAGGCAAACUUUGAAGUUUGUACAUCUCAAAACCUUUUCUUGCUCAUACACACUUCAAAUGGUUUAUACACCUCCCAUAUUGUUGAAAUGAUUUAAACAAAGUGGUACUAUACAUUGUUUAUUACAAAUAGAUACAUCUCCCACAUAGUUAUGUAACUGUGUGAGAGAUGUAUCAUUUUUAAAUCAUGUAUAGUCCAACUUUGUUAUUACGAUUUAAAAUUUUAUGGAACGAUAAAACAACUGUAUUAUGAUCUCAUGCCGGAUUCUAGGAUUUUUAGACUCUUUAAGAUAUUAUUGUUUUUCCUCGUAGAGUCACCAAAAUAUAUGUCAAGUAGUUACAUAUUUUGCUUGGCUGCCAACCUCCAAUAAAAUUCAAUAACCCCCCAAGAAAAUGAUAAAUCAUUAGAUGGUUUAAUUUAAAUUAACACGUAAGGAAACAGGUAUUUUUCUUGGCGGUUAAGAAUAACACUUAAGAAAAUAGUAGUUUCCUUUGAGUGUUUAUAAUUACACUCAAGGAAAUAAGUGCCCCGUCAAGGAAACACCCAUAUUCCUUGGCGGUUUACUUCAACCUCCAAGGAAUAUAUGUUUCCUAGAGAGUUCACUAGCACCAGCAAUGAAACUACCAUUUCCUUGGCAGUUUCAUUUUGGCACUCAAGGAAAUUCUCAGCCCCCCAAGGUAAUUCCAGAUUGGUAGUGUGUUUUAGUUAGUUAGUGUAAAAUCAUGUGAAGGCAUUCCAUUGCGUAUGUGUCCAACUAUAUAUAUUCACCAUGGAUCCAUCAGAUCAGCAUUUAUAUCAUGAACCCAAAAUAUAAUAAGGGAAAUACUUCUCUAAGACUGAUACUAUAUAUAACCUGUCACUAUAAAAUAUCACCUAGUUACCCUCUCGAAUCUCUAACAUCACACGUCGUUGCUCAGUGGAGCAUUGGUCACAUGCAAGCAACACCGACUUAACCUGGGCUUUAGAGGCAUUGGGAAUUGUACCAUGGCUGCACUCUUGCUCCCUAGUACUGACUGGGCCAGCAUCGGUAGUUCUCCAGAUCAGUAGCUGCGAACCAAUAAGUUCGCAUGCCCCCUGGGAAAUCUUCUGUCUCCAGCUCUGCUAUGUCUCGUUACAGCAAGUAUAGUAAGCAUUUUUCAGCGGGCGAGAAGACAUCCACUUUGUACAAAAGCAGCCACGAGAUCAUUUCCUGCUGCAACACAUGUUAUUACCAGAAAAUAAAAGUUUCAUUUGCUUUCAAUUAGGGCACAUACAUUUCGUGCUGUCUCUAUGCCAUUAAUUUUGUAAAAAGUCCCUCGACGGAGCCAAGAGACAGCGACCCCAGCUGGUCCUCCAUGAAGAAAUUUGCCUGGAGUAAAAGGCCUCGAUCCCGUGCAGCAGGAGGUAGUGACGAUGGCACCAAUCUGCUGCAAGCACACGGACGACCUGGCGACCUGCCCUGAUAAUCUGCACACGGGUGAGCUCUGCAGCGAGAUCUGUUGUUGGUUUCGCAUGGGGGAGCUCCGGCUGGCUGCUGCGAGCCACGCCAAUGAGCUUCGCCACCGAGCUUCACGCAGGUGAGGAGGCGUUGAAGAAGAGAAGUGUUGAAGUUGAGUAUUCAAAGGAUAAGCAUGUGCAGCGCAGCACAGUACUGUAGUGUCACUCUAAGGAGGAGCAUGUGAAGUGCACACUGCCAUACAGCUCUUCAGUUUCUACAGACUACAGAGUUCAGUGGACAGAGCAAACCACGAAGUGCUACUAUACUAGGAUCUGCUAAAAAAAAGUACUAUAGUAAGGAGUAGCAGGCUAGUGUGUAUUUGCAAUUUUUUCCUAAAAAGUUGAGACUUUGUAGAAUUUCGUUGUUUAUUUGAUUUAUGAAAAUUUUGUUCUAUUAUAUAUUAUAUAUUAAUAUAACACUUAUUAUAUUAUAUAUUAAUAUAUCAUUUAAACUUAUGGUUCCAAAAAAUAUUGUAACCAUGAUCAUCUUAUUUAUGCUGGAUCUUUUUAUUAACAACAAGCAACAUAUAGGAAAUUCUGCUGUCAAAGCUCGGUCAGCCCAUAGGAAACUCAAAGGAGGGUAUCGAGUACAUAUGACAACACUAUGAAAACAAAGGAAAUUAGAAAAAAAAAGCAAUGCAACUAUAUAUAAUAUAAUUAUUAUGUUGAUUGUUUCUAAAAAUUAUUGUAAUCAUUUUGCUCUUAUUUAUACUUGAUAUAUUUCUAUCAAAUAGCCACACAAUAGUUCACAAAUAUUCAUUUAUAGUUGAUCAUGGAUACAUGCAAAGCAUUAGACGACUGAAUCCUGUUUGUAGGUUGUAUGGUCAGUCUUUAUACCUAUCUAUAUGAUAAAUUCAAUGUUGCUUAGAGACGAGUCUCCGUCUGUGGGUUGUACAUGCCCUCAACCAAUCCAAUGCAGUUUACAAUGCAAGGAUUAAAUACUUAUCUCUAUAGUAGAGCUAUCUAAACAGCCAACCUAUAAUACUAGUUGACUAUAUUGCUGGCUAUAUAUGAUAUGGCAUUGUCUUACAACCUUCAGUUGGCUAAAUUAUUAGCCAUGCUCUUAUACAUUUCUGUCACCUCCACGUAUUCUAGAUAUUUGUGGCUAGGUCAUUCGGGGUGGCGCCCUAGUUGAGCUAUAUGAAGGAUUAAAGGCCAACACAUUUAACCCUUUAAGUUAUGUGUUGAACAAGCUUCGCACAAAAAGUAUACACGAAAAGUAUAGAAUAGUAUACACAGCUGUACAGUAAUCCAAAUUAGUUUUCAACAAAAUCAAGCAUUAUUUGCUCGAUCUUCCUAAAAGUUUGCAAGCAUUCAUCGAUCGUUUGCCUUCAUUUCGAUUAAUUGUUGAUAUAUGCCACAGGCAUCGUGGCUCUAUGUGCUGACUUGGGCAAACCACCAGCACAAGGCCAGCCAUGUAUCAAGAAGGGACGGAAGGUUUAGGACGUCUUGGAUUGUCUUAUUACUCCGCACAUUUGGGUGCAAAUAUUUGGCUUUAUGAAUAACCCCCUGCAGAAAUAGACAAACACCAAAACUCGUGGAAUUCUAUCAGAUAAAACCCUAAUUCUAGGUGUUGGUUGCAUUUGGAUCCUUUUCUUUAUUUAUUUGAUGAUUAUAUUUGGUACUUAAGGACCAUCAACAACCGGCAUGAAAGUCGCCUUCUUUAUUUUAAACCUGGCGAUCUCUGCUCUGUGGUCUGGUAGGUUGAUUUCAGGUGUCAUUGUUUCAUAAUACUGUAAUUGCCAAAGAGCAUCAUCAGUAAACAUAAAAACACAAUGAGUAUGGCUGAAGGCCCAUGCCAGAGGCAUAUGGGAUACUAUUGAUAGUGUGUAUACGCAAAAAAAAUAUCAUCGAUACAUCACCUGACUCGCUAAAUGGCCAACAUAAAGCUAGUAUGUAAUAGCAGGUAGGUAAAGCUCCAAUGAGCGCCAUUGACACUCCAUGACCCAGCACAAGCACUCAAUUCCAUUAAUUACAACCUAAGGGAUUAAUGCAUUUCAAGUAGAUUACAGUAGCUGAGCACCAGCAUAUAUAUACAUAAGUUAUUGAAGUUGUACCUUGUGGUCUUCAUAAUCUAUCUGUUUCAACGCCCUCAAGCAAGUUGUGUGCCGUGAAGAACCCACAGGCGUGGCCCUGGCUCUGAACUUGCUGCUGGGACUAUGAAGAAAGGAACACAUGGUUACCAAUUGAAUUGCCAAUAUGACUUCACAACUGCAAUGGAAGCACUACUUACUGGAACAUUGAAAUGAUGGUUGUAGGCUAGACAAUACUCACUCGUCUAUCACUUCUUGUGUAGGAGUCAACUUUGAGGUCCUGCCACUAUUGGAGUCGAGGUACAUCACCCUCCGCCAAUCUUGGCAAAUGAUGAUGAUAGCAACCUAGUGCCCAUCACAAACUUUUGGUUGGCAUGUUGCGCUGGGUAGGUUCUCAGAAUAGUCCAUGCAAUAUUAUCUAUCUUCCUAGAUACUUUUCAAUGUAAGUGCUUCUCCGAUAGUGGAGAUUGGAGAGCGGCGGGCCAGCUGGAACCGGGAUCGAGAGGGCUAGGGUUUCAACAGGUUGUGGCCUGUAGGGGAGCAAUGAAUUUUAUUUUGCGCUUUGCAUAACUGAGCCAUCCAAGGUUGAUACAAUAGUGACGAGAAAGGCAGAA